ACAAUAGAACUACUAUGAUUCAAAAUAUCCUGUAGGCAUUAAGAUUUAUUUGAAGAUCUUACCAUCAAACAUAAGUCAAAUGCAAAGGUCCUGCAUGAGAGGUCAAAUCAGAAGCCAUGUCACUCUAUCUACUCACCCUGGUCUCAAGGUUUUGGUUGGUAGUGAAUUAAUGAUUGAUCACAAUCUAUGGAAAAAGCUAAAGAUCAUGCACUGUUGGAUUGGCUAAAAGCUAAAGAUCAAAACAGUUUUAUGUGACAGGGUUUUAAUUAGCUGCGGCGAUAAAAUGCAAUUGUUGGGAUGAAGGGUCAAUUUAGAAAUCUCAUGUUUAGUGACCGAAAUUUUUUGGUCACAUUAGCGACCAAAUUAGAAACCAAUUUACUUAACUUUAUAGUAAAAUAUAUAGUUUCGUUGCUAAAUCAGUCACAAAUGAAAUGAGUUUUAGACCAAAGAGACCAAAUAUUAGCGAUCCAAUUAGAGACCGAAAAUUAGUUACGGAAAAAAAGUUGGUCGGAACAGUAAUUCCUUCCCUUCAAUCUGAAUUUGAUUAUGAUUCCCUCAAUUCUGAUUUUGAUGAUCCAAAAACCCUAAAUACCAUCAUAAACCCUCAAUUCCAUCUCAUUCUCACCACCAGAUAAUAAUUCCGCUGCCGGAACCACCAGACAAGGUUGUCGCCUCAGUGUCAUCAAGAAACAUCCUCCGUGCUGCUAUUGAGGAGAGUUCACGGAAGACCACGCCAGUUGAGCUGAUACCCUGAUUGGUGUUCAUUUACAAUGUUGUUAACUGCCUUCCAAGUGUUUGAUGAAAUGCCAACACUCCAAGUGGCUGUUUGGAAUGCCAUCUUUAUCCAAAGUGCUUGAGGUUGGUGACGGAGUUUUUGAAGUUUUGUCCACUUGGGUGGUAUUGAUUUUGAUAAGAGUUGUUGAUUGGUUGGCUGGAAAUUUCAAGAAGAUGAAGGUAUAGACCUUUUGAAAGACAAACAAGCUCUUUAGCGACUUACCGAGACAGCCGAGAAAGCAAACAUGGAGCUUUCAUCAUUGACUCAAACAAACAUCAGGUAUUUGCUUUGUCAUUGAGCAACUCACACUCUUUUCUCGUGCUUUAUGACUGUAUGACUCUGCCUCGUAAGAUUUGUGCAUCCUUAAGCAAGAAUUAAAUUUUUUUUUUUUUUUAAAACUUGGUAUCCGGCCCUAGGACCGACUAAUUCAAGGGGGCCAAGCAAGAAUUAAAAUUUUGAUUCUGAUUGUGGCUUUAACCAGUGGAGGGAAGCAUGCCUAGGGAUGAAACUAUGAUUCCAAACCCACUAACUUAAUUUCCAUGGACUUUUAGAUUGUGUAUGGGAAGUGAAUUAUAUUAUUUGUUAUCUAAAUAUGGACUUCAAUCCCACUAUUUUUUGCUUUCAAAAGAAAAAAUUCCACUAAUUUCCAUGAACUUUACCUAUUUGAUCUUCCUGGAAAUUGUGUAAAAGUUAUUACUAAUAUAUAAUUCAGGACACUUCUUAAGCAAAG
Trifolium pratense (red clover) is the source of this 1505-nucleotide long non-coding RNA. RefSeq lists it as uncharacterized. NCBI's taxonomy places the organism in Eukaryota, Viridiplantae, Streptophyta, Magnoliopsida, Fabales, Fabaceae. The transcript is spliced from 3 exons. The record is from RefSeq and is a predicted model, not a curated record.